GGAUGAGGUCUAGGUCCUCGUCGUCGGGGAUCUCAUCUAACCGAUAGCCAUCCUUCAGCAGCUGGAUGUUCAAAUCUUGGUUGAUCUGCUGUAGGCAAAGGGGAGGGAGGUCAGGCCCGAGCGGCAGGGAGGCACCACCCACGGCUCUGCAGCCACUCCAGGCCGUCUGUGCCCUGGUCCAGCCGGUGCCUUGGAUAUCGGCCCCGCUCUGUCCCGCAUCUGUCCAUACCCCCAGGCCCCGCUCCUGCCUAGGCGCCCUCCUCCACCUCUGGCCUCUCUUUCUAGUCAUCCCUCCCCAUUCUAAGGUCAACUUCACACCUCUGGUCCUGUCCCUAUCUCAGGCUGGCUACUAGAGGAUAUCACCUGUAUUUUACACCUGUUCUAUUUAAAUGGCCUGCUGCAAUCUAAAGCCCCACUCCUAACCCUAGGCUCCCUGCACUUGAGGCCAGUAACCACUUCUUUUCCAUCCUAUCCCAGGCCCACCCUGUGCAGGGCACCGCCCAGCCCUGCCCAGCCCUCUUUUUCAUUGUACUUGGGCGUUGGCCCCAGCCCUCCCCCUGAUGGCGAUGAUCCUGCCCAGUGGUGUCUAGGGUGAGAAGGGGUAGGGGCUCACCUCAGCAGAGGAGUAGCCGGAGGAGGAGUAUCUAGACAUAUCAAAGUCAUCAUCGCUGGCCAUGGAGGAAAGAGAGGGAAAGUGAUACCAAGAAAUUAAAUAGAAAACUCUCCACAAUCCCACCUCCCAUUAGUCAGCAUCCCACACCUCCCUCAUAGUUCCAAAUAGCAAAAUCUCAAUACAAACUGUGCUUGCUGUGCAAAUGCAGGAAUUUAAAGACAAGUUCCCUAGCCCCACCCUUAAAAUCAAUUGCUAUCCUUAACCUCCUUCUAAAUAUAGCAGUUACUCCUUUCACCCCCUUCCUUCUCAUCUUUUGUUUUUCUAGACUCAAAUCACCCUGACUUGUAGGGUGUUCCCAAAGCCCAAGUGUAGCCAGGUGUUUUCCAGGGAGUAGGGCUCCUCCCUGAGGGGAUGGGGCAUUAAGCAUCAUAUUCUGCUGUCCAGAGACAUCACAGGCCAGUUAGGGACAACCGUUGGAUCAGUUGUCCCAGGAUGACAGCAGACAGCGCAGGCCCCCCUUUCCUCUCUCUGCCACCUCUCUUCAACCCCUAGUCCCUGGUGUAAAAAAAUUCCCAUCCCUGGAGAAUUCACCCUUGGAGAGAUUCUGGCUGAAGAAUACCCCAAUUCUGACAUUAGAGCAGGUAUGGCUUGUAUAGCCCACUUGUGCUACACAGGUUCCUUUGGGCUGCCCAGCUGCCCCCAAACCCCUAUACACACCUGUCCGUGUCAAGGGCUACCAGUGGCUUCUCAUCGGGGCUCUGGUCAAGCGAGGAGUAGCCUUUAUUGGGGACAACCAGCCUGGGUGAAGAAUUUUGGGAGUUAGAGUGGCAAGUGGAGCAUAGAAACCUGGCAAGGGACUGGGUUAGGUCCCGCCCCACCACUUCCUUCCUUCCCUCCCUCCCCACUUUGGAUCCUGUUAAGGCUGUCUCCUCUCAGAGAGGAGCUGGGCCUGAGGAGCAGGGGAAAAGAGGGAGGCUCAGGACCAGCAGAAAUAGAUCCUGGCUGGCAGGGUCCAGGUUGGAUAGGGAGGGCCUCUACCUUGUUCGGGCCAUGACAUUGUUCUUCUUGGGUUGCUGGUUGACAGGGCUACCCAUGCUGCCAUUCUUCAGGGAGCCCUUCCGGGCCAGUUCCCGCUGCUUCUCUGCAGGAGAACAUGGGAAGGAAGCUGUGUCCUGCCCCUGAGGCCACCCUGCCUUACUACUCAGGGCAGCCUGGGCUGGGCCUCCACUGUGAAACCACUUGCUCUUAGAAGGACUGAGGCAGGGAUCCCAACUCCAGGCCCCUGCUGCUUUGUGGAGCUAGUACCUGGCCCUGCACAACCUGAGGCAGACAGUAGGGGGCAAAAAGAGGAGGCUGUCCCCUGUUUUCCAGGAACUACAACUCCCAUGUUAGGGUAGUUAGUGUGUACUUGCUGCCAGGGAAAGGCUGGAGGGGGAGAGACAAUCACAGAAGGCUGGCACAGUCAGAGAGGGCUUCCUUUAGGUGACACCAUGACUUGGAGAGAGGUGGGCAUUCUAGGAAGGAGGGACAGUGCAUGCAAAAAUGCAUUUAAAAGUGAGCAUAAGUGUGGCUCUGGAUAGAGGGGUGAAGAGAGAGGUCAGGUUAGAGAAGUAAAAUUCAUUUACUCAGGCACUUAUUCAUUCAACAAAUAUCCACAUCACUAAUUAUAUGUCAGGUCCUGUGCUAAGGGGCUGAAGACUCUCUCUGGUUACAAACUCAGAACAUGAAGGACUUGAAUGCCAGACAGAGGAGUUUGGGAUUAACACAGAAGGAAAAAGAAGCCACUGAAGAUUGUGAUGUGGGAGGGGCAGGAUGGGGCUGCAAGGUAAGGGGCAGGAGGCUGGGGGAGCCCAUUUGGCUACGCUGCCUGAGUGGUGCUCCUGACUCCUUUGCCAAGGUCUGAGUUCUCCAAGGUUCCAAAACCUACCAGGUUCAUGGAGCUGGCCAUCAGGUGACCCACUCCACUGCCUGGUAUGAGACAACUGUUCCCAGAAGUAGCUGCCUGGGUCUUGGAGGAAUCCCAUCUCCCUUCCCUACUCAUCUCAAUUAAAGCCCAGAUCUAGGAAAAGGAACUGUUAGGUAGAGAGGGACACUAGGGAAAAUGACUCAUAAAAUAACCAAAUGCUCCAGAGGGUAAGGAUGGGGAGGACCUUUACAGCUACCGUGACUCACUUUGAAACUUCCCCUGACCUCAUGUCUCUGAAUCUCUGUCUCCUACUCUUUGACCCUCUUUCUUUGCCACUGCUCAUCUGAUUCCAGUUUUUUCCCAGCUUCUUUCCAGCAGGUGGCAGCUGCCAUUACCACUCUAGGCCUCUAGGGGGUGCAAUUUGCCUUAAAGUUUCUGGCGGAACUUGGUGCAACUGGGACAAUGCUGUGAAUUUUCAUGAGGAGCUUUGAUGAAAACACAGCUCGAGGGGCUCCCUGGAUGUGGUCUGGAAGGAGAGAAGCAAGCAAGAAGACGAUGGGGAGCCAAUGAAGCCUUAAGAAGGGAGUAACAUGUUCAGAUUCGAGAUGGAAAAGGACCCUCCGACAGCCAUGUGCAAGACGAGUGGGAAGGGAGUGAGACUGGAGGCUAUGACAAAAAGCAGCAAAGAUCCUUGACUUCUAGUCCUCGAGGCAGGGGGCCAAAGCCAACAUGGACCUACCAGGAGUGGCCUGAGAAUCCAGAACACAGAGAGAAGCAGCCUGCAUUGCGAUUUUCCCAGAACCCACAACACUUGUUCUACUAACAGUGAACAUCCAGAGAGAGACUCAACCAUGGAACCUAUACUCUGAUAUGUGGUGAUCAUUCUUUCUUACCUUUUUAUUUUUUGAAAUAGGGUCUCACUCUGUCACUCAGGCUGGAGUGCAAUGGCACGAUC
Non-coding RNA from Macaca mulatta (Rhesus monkey), 3474 nucleotides. The record is from RefSeq and is a predicted model, not a curated record. Lineage: Eukaryota; Metazoa; Chordata; Mammalia; Primates; Cercopithecidae.